GGACCCAAUACCAGAUACUACAUUGCAUUUAAACCAAUAAUAUUCUCAAAUUUUUUUCUGGGCCAGAAUCCGAACCUGGAUUACCUAUUGUAUUUAGUUGUCAUAUUUCUUUAGACUUUUUUUUUUUUUUUUUGGUCUUUUUAGGGCCAUACUCAUGGCAUAUGGAAGUUCCCAGGCUAGGGGUCAAAUUAGAGCUGCAGCUACAUGGGAUCUGGGCCGCAUCUGCAACCUACGCCACAGCUCACGGCAACACUGAGUCCUUAACCCACUGAGGGAGGCCAGGGAUCGAACCUGUGUCCUCAUGGAUACUAUUCAGGUUUGUUACCACUGAGCCACAAUGGGAACUUAGGUCUUUUCUUAAUAUAAAGUCCAAAUGCAAGUUCACCUUUUUUGGGGGAAGGGAGCCUCACCCACAGCAUGCAGAAGUUUCUGGGGCCAGGGACUGAACCCAUGCCACAGCAGUGACAAGGCCAGAUCCUUAACCCACUAGGCCACCAGGGAAUUCUUCUUUAGAGUCCAUUAUCUGGAACAAUUCCUCAGCCUUUCAACAUCUUUCAUGACUUCAAUAUCUUUGGAGAGAGUACAAACCAGUUAUUUUGUAGAGUGUACCUCAGUUUUGGUUGGUCUGAUGUUUCCUCAUGACUAGAUUCAAGUAGGUUAUGCACGUUAGCAAGUCUAUCACAUAAGUAAUAUUCUCAGCAUUUCAUGUCAGGAGGCACAAUGUCAACUUGCCUCAUUACCAGUGAUCUUAACUUUGAUUACUUGGGUAAUGUGGCAUUCACCGCGUUUCUACUUUGAAAAAUCACCAUUUUUCCCUUUGUAAUUAAGUAAUCUGCAGUGGAAAUGAGACCCUGUUCCUCGUCUUUCACUAGAGUGCUAGUUUAGCGCUCUGGUAACCUGCCCGUUCCCCUUCCAUCUUUUUUUCUCCUUCUUGAUUCUUUUUUUUCUUUUUGCCAAAGAAACCAGCAAUUUGCCUCAUUGAAAUUUCCCCAGUCUAGAUUUUUCAGGUCAUGUUCUCUUAAACCCAUUCCAGAUAGGCUUUGCCUUGCACCACUCCACUAAAACUGUUCUUGUAAAGGUCACCAAUAAAAUUCUAAUUACUAUAUCAAAUGACUAAGUUGUCAGUCUUAACUGUCCACAGUUUAGGACACAAUGUAUCACUCCAUUCUCUUUGAAGCUUUUUUUUUUUUUCACUUGGCUGACAGCAUCCACAUCUUCCUGCUUCUCCUCUUACCUCACUGAUUUUUCCUUCAGUCUCUCUGCUAUUUCCUUCUCAUCUCUACAACCUUCCAACUCAGGCUCAAUACUCAGGCCUCUUCUCAUCUCUUUCUACAAGCUCUUCAUUGGUAACCUCAUUUGUCUGAUGGUUUUAAAGUCUAUCUAUAUAACAUCUCCCGACUUUAUUUCUUGCAAACAUAUCCCCUGAACUCAUGCGUAUUUGCCGAACUUCACCACCUGGUUUUCUCUAACCAGCAUUUCAAACUCAACACAGGUCCUGAUGUUCAAAACAGGUCCCGAUUUCCCUUUGUCCCUAGAUGUGCUCCUCCUGCAAUAUUCUCCACCUCAUCUGAUGGCAGUUCCAUCUUUUCAUUUGCUCAGAUUGAGUCUCCUUUUCUCUCUCAUACCUUACAUAUGAUCUACAAUAGAUCAUAUGGAGUUUGCCUUCAAAUAGACUUUGAAUGCAACUACUUCUCACUAGGUCUUCUGUUACUACUUGGUCUGAGCCACGACCAUCUUCAUUAUUCUAAUAACCUCCUAACUGGUUGUACUCUGGCUUUCCUCUAGUUUAUUCUCCAUGCAGCAGCCAGAGUGAUCUUACUAAAACUUGAGCCAGACCAUGCCACUCCUCAAAAUUCUCCAGUGGCCUCUCUUUUCACUCAAAUGAAAAGCCGAAGUCCUCAACGUUGAUGCAAGUCCCCCCAUAGUCUGGGCCCUCAUGCCUCCUUCCUUCUCUAUUAUUCUUCCAUCUCCAGGCACAAGGCUCUCCUUGCUGUUUUUUAAACAUGUUUGGCAAUUUCUGCUCCAGGUCUUUGCUCUUGCUGUUUCCUCUACUUAAAACCCUUUUUCAUCUGGCAUGAAUUUGCGCCUUCAUUUACUUCAGGUCACUUUCUUCAGGCCUUUGCUCAAAUAUCUUCUUCUAAGAGAGACAUUCCUUGACCACUCUGUUUAAAAUGCAACCCUCCAUCCCCUUUCAUUACGCUAGUUUUCUCCACAGCAUUUUGCAAUAUCUAAUAAAACAGAACACUUGCUUUAUGAAGGAAGGUAUUUUCAUCUGUUUUGUUCACUAUUCCACACCCAAUUCAAUGCCUGGUACAUAGCAGGAGUUCAGCAACAAGUUUUUGUAACAUGACUAUCAGAUACAUGCUUACCAUAAAGCCUGACAGUAUACAGUACAUACACAUUAAAAAAGAGAGAGCGAGCCCAGGGUGGUAGUGAGAAAAGGGGAGAAGAGUCUGAAGAAACCUGUAAAGGAGAAAUUGUCCCAAACCUCAUCUGAGAAAAAGGUUGUUUGUGUGUGUGUGGGGGGGGGGGGGUUUGUUUGUUUUGGGGUUUUUUUUGCAUACUAUCAUUCCUGACAAGUAAUGGAAUUAAGAUUUAUUUUAGAAACUAGUUGUCCACCCACCGUGAUGCCUGCCAUAUAUACUCUCCUUUUUGUAGCUCACCAGCAAUGAUUGUGUAACCCUUCUCUCUUCCUCAGAAAAACUCCUUUUCCUGAGUGAAAGUUGAAAUUGACCUCUUGCUGUUCCCGUAUAGCUAGAUGGUAAUAGGACUUUGAAACAUACUCAUAACUAGGCUACCUGAAACAAGAAACCCUUUUAAACAUGGCUCUAAUACAUUAAUUUACAUAGUUUGUCUUUUAAAAUUAAGUUGCUGUCACUCCAGUGUUACUAAAAUGAAAACGCUUUUCUAAAAUAAAGUACGAAACCCUAAUUAACUGUUUUCUAUUUACCAUGCCUGCAUGGCGUGCGUGUCUACAGUCAGGUCUGUACUAAUCGGUAGAAACCGGCGCACGUUCCCCUUCAGCACGACCAGCGCGCUCCGCCGGGCCCCAACCACGGCGAACGAGAGCGCGGCGCUGGGGGACGCGGCACCCCACGCCUUCCGGUCGCCCUCGCCGCGAGCCCGGCCGGAAGCCGGAACCGGGGGAAUUUCCCAGAGAGCCCCGGGGGAUUUUCCCAGAGGGCCCCGGGGGAGCUGGCGGGGCGCUACUUCCGCACACGCGCAGUAGCGGCAUCGGGACGCGCCCGCGUUCCUCCGCGUGGGUCAGUCCUGCGCGGCCGGUGACCCUGCAGGGCUUGAGCCGGUGGGAGAGGAGAGGCCGGCUAGUCGGUGCCUGAGAAGGAAGUAAGAUUGCAGGUGACCCCUGUGCGCGGGGGCGUUUAGCGCAGAGAAAGUCGCGUGCGGGCAGGGCGCGCAUCUGCCCGGCGGCGGGGCCGGGGCGGGCCGGGCUGCGGGGCUGUGCUGGAGGUCGUGGUGCCGCUCAGGGAGCCCACGCCUGGGCGUGAAGCCGCAGCUCAGCGCGUUCCAAGAGCCUUUUAACGCGCCGAAGGCAGUAAACGCGUUCAGAGCGGCGGGGAAGAGGACCGAUAUAUCCAGUGCCAGACACUGUUAAGCUUUUUUUUUUUUUUGUAGUAUGGCAUUUAUUUAUCACUGUUACUUUGGGAUGUAAUUAUCCUCGUACUGCUUACAGAGAAGUGUGAAGCUGCUUCAAAUCACACAGCUAGUAAGUGGAGGAGCUGGUGUUCAAACGCAGUGCCGUUUUACCUGAAUUUCACUAGUUUUGGAACAUAGUACUUUGCCUAAAAGAGUUAGUGUUCUUGAGUAAAUACUAAGUGAACUUCAACUUGUGAUCAUUGUUACUGAGAGAACUCUUGGUGUCUCUGCAGGAAGACUGUGUGAUUGAACCUGUGGAUCCCUGUCGCGUAUUUCUGCCUGAUUCAUUUUCCAGCGACCCUGGUGAAAAUCUACAAAAAGCCACCCUAGGGCCACAGGAUGGAGAGAGAAGAAUCAAUUUUUGUCUCUUCUAUCCAGUGAGAGGAGAGUUUGACUCACCGCAUUACAUGAACCAUCAAGAACUGUGUCCAUGGAAGUGUGGUCCCAAAUGUUUGAGGAGAAAGCUCUCCUGUGUACCUUAUUGCAAGGAACAAUGAACAGUGAACAUGAUUAGAGGAAUUUCUCUGAAUUCCCUCCACAUGCCCAGUGGUGCUCACUAUGGAUGGAAGAUGAAUGUACUGUCACAGAAGUUAUCUGCUUACUUGGUGAUGAGCUAGAAAGACAGGAAGGAGAAAGAAGGAAGCAAAGACAAUUUUUUGAACCAAGGAAUGUUCACCUUCAAGAAAGCACUGACCAACAAAAUAGUCCAAAAUUGUAAUCUGAGUAUAAACCUUAUUUCUUCAAGACAAAAACGGCAUAAAUGUGAAUCAAAUGGAAAGAGUUUGCAGCCUAAUUUACACUUACUUAAUUAUAGUAAAAGUUAUUUGAGAGAAAACUCUUAUGAAUACAAGGAAUAUGGAAAAGCCUUCAAAAACAAGUUAUGUCUCAUUAGACAUGAAAAAAAGCAUACAAGGAAAAAAACCUUUGGGUGCGAUGAAUGUGGGAAAGCCUUCCAAAAGAAGUCUCGUCUCAUUAGACAUGAAAAAAAGCAUACAAGGGGGAAAAAAAGCCUUUGAAUGCAGUGACUGUGGGAAAGCCUUUACCAGUAAGGGACACCUUGUAGCUCAUCAAAAAAUCCAUAGCGGAGAGAGACCCUUUGUGUGCAGUGAUUGUGGGAAAGCGUUUAUGCAUAAAGCAUAACUCGUGGUCCACCAGAGACUCCACACUGGGGAGAAGCCUUAUGAAUGUAGUCAGUGUGGGAAAUCAUUCACCUGGCAUUCCUCCUUCACUCAGCACGUAAAGUCCCACACACCCGAGAACUCAUUUGAGUGUAAAGAAUGUGGGAAAACCUUCAAGUACAGUUUAUCCCUUUAUAAACACUCUGGAAAUCACACCGGCGAGAAACCGUACCACUGUAGAGAAUGUGGCAAAGCCUUUGGGGACUCCUUAGUGCUGGUCAUGCAUCAGAGGAUUCACACAGGUGAGAAACCUCACAGGCGCACUGAGUGUGGCAAAGCCUUCAUCAAGAAAUCACAUCUCCUUAAACAUUACUUAACUCACACAGCAGAGCAGCAAAAUAAAUGCAACACAUGUGGGAAAUCUUUUAAGCGGAAGACACAUUUCAUUCUCCAUCAAAGAAAUCAUAAAAACAAUGGAGCUUUGUAAAUGUGGGAAAACUUAAAAUUAGCCUUUUAAUAAAGCAGCAAAGAAUUCAUCAUGGGAGAAACCCUAUCAGCUGAAUAAAUGUGGAAAAGCCUGUUCUGAAAUUCAUUUUUUGUAAGUGAUACUACUUACUGAAAAGAUUACAGAAAAUUUUAAGCUGUAAAUAGACAACUUUACUGAACAGAAAAGCUGAGGAAAUUUUGAAAAACUGAAUAAGGCAUCAGACUGACUAACUGCAUAUAUACACUGUCCCUAUUUUAUGGUUUUUAAACAAAUUGUACAAAUGUCUGCAUUGCUUAAGAAAUUGUGUAGCCAUAGGUAUGAAAUAUAUGCUAUGCACAUAAUACAGAGUUAUGUCUGUUAUGAUGAUUGCAGAGCAUUGUAAAUGUACUUAAUGCCAAUGAAUUACACACUUAAAAUGGCUUAAAGAGUAAAUUUUAUGUUCUAUCAAAA
This 5709-nucleotide long non-coding RNA is filed under the name Sus scrofa (pig). RNAcentral describes it as "lncRNA (ENSSSCG00050016375.1)". Lineage: Eukaryota; Metazoa; Chordata; Mammalia; Artiodactyla; Suidae. The record is from RNAcentral.